Molecule: ribosomal RNA, 507 nt
Filed under: uncultured bacterium
Lineage: Bacteria
Description: bacterial SSU rRNA
Rfam family: Bacterial small subunit ribosomal RNA
Source: RNAcentral
GAUGAACGCUGGCGGUGUGCCUUAUACAUGCAUGUCGAACGAGGCGUAGCAAUACGUCUAGUGGCAAAUGGGUGAGUAAUAAAUAGGUAACCAACCCUUAAGACGGGGAUACCCCAUCGAAAGAUGGAAUAAUACCCGAUAAUGUCCCUUCCGGUGCGCUGGAGGGGAAGAAAGAUGGCGCAAGCUAUCACUUUUGGACGGGCUUAUUUCCUAUCAGCUAGUUGGUGAGGUAACGGCUUACCAAGGCUACGACGGGUAGCUGGUCUGAGAGGACGGUCAGCCACAUUGGGACUGCGACACGGCCCAGACUCCUACGGGAGGCAGCAGUCGGGAAUAUUCGGCCAAUGCGCGAAAGCGUGACCGAGCGACACCGCGUGGGCGACGAAGAUCUUAGGAUUGUAAAGCCCUUUUGCCAGGGAAGAAUACGCUGGAGACAAUAUCAAUAGCGUUUGACGGUACCUGGCGAAUAAGCCGCAGCAAACUACGUGCCAGCAGCCGCGGUAAACU